GACCACCGCCCCCUCCCCCGGCACUGCCACUGCCGUGUUUGGUCUAAGCCCCCUCCAUUCCGCCUGCGUUGGAGAAAUGUUCCCGGUACCAGAAGGAAUAAAAGGCCUGGGGUUGGUCUCCAUGGCAACUGGAAGAAAGAGGGUGAGAAGAUGGUCACCCCUAGCCCUGAGACGUUUCUCACACUUGCCAAAGGCCCUUCCAAGCAUCCUUCUCCCGGAGGAUACCGAAGCCUGGAAUGAUCUCGCCCUGCUCUGUACCCCCAAAGCACCCCCUCACUCCGUCAGGUGUAAUGGGAUUGUGAGUUUAUCUUGCUAAUUAUUUCAUAAGUGCCUCCCCUGGGAGAGUGUAAUGUCCCUUGGGUGAUAGCCCUUAUUUUCUUCACCUUUUCCGUAAUGAUUGCUAGUAGCAGGCGAACAAGAAUGAUGAGCUGCUCUCUUGCUCGUUGAAGAGAAUUACCAUGCUCACUCCAAACUAGCUCACCUCACUAGGAAUAACUCUGGAAACCCUACUUCCCAACUAUGGAAAUUCCAGCUUCUGCAGGGAGCCACCCCAGAUGGAUCCUGCAAGAACCAAGAACACAUAGCUAGUCCAGUAUCUCAGUGCCCAGCACUGCCUGCCUUUCUGCCCCCCCCACCCCCAAAAUAAAUGAUCUUCCUUG
Molecule: long non-coding RNA, 659 nt
Organism: Equus quagga
Lineage: Eukaryota; Metazoa; Chordata; Mammalia; Perissodactyla; Equidae
Exons: 2
Source: RefSeq, a predicted model, not a curated record